GAUUUGUAAUGAGAGCAGUCCAUGUCCAAGAGACGGAGCUGUAGCACUGGAGCUUUCUACAGGAAAGCAGAAAUAAAUGAGCUGCAUUCAUUUCCUCAGGUGCUGCUAUCAGCUGGCAGGCCCUUUGCUUCCAGGGCUGGGGAGAAUCAAAACUCUGUCAGGCAUCCCACACCUCGCAGCUGGCAGCAGGAGCUGGGACAGCGCCGUUUGGAACUUGAUGCCCGGGAGAGACUCGCAGGAAUUUCACGGCUCGGCCGGGACGGGAGAGCCGGGAGCCGCGCCCGGCCGGGGCCGCGAGAGGGCGCCCGCGGACAGGGAACGGCCUCUCCGGGUGACAGAUCCACUCAUCCAUCCCAAACACACAGAUACACAUGUGCACACACACAGGGCAGCAGUGGCACAGCAGUGAUCGCAGGAGUUUUUCUCUUUUGAAAUAAGUAGGGAGACAAAAAUAAAAUAAGAAAUUUGCACUGAAUAUUUAUUUUGAUAAACAUUGUGUACUCCAAACAACUACGUGUUAUUUCAGUUGUAAGCCACAAUCUUUUGGAAACGACGUCCCAAGAGCUCUUGUCAUCAUAACCCGACAGUCAAUGCACCACCACGGUCUGUGGACAUAGAGAGCUUUCAAGUGCAAAGCAGAUUAUCAGAAAAGACACAUUGCCAACCUCCUUAACAAACUGGACAAUGCUCAACUCCAGUAAAAAUGCUUCAUAUGUCUGCAAUUUAGUUGUCUUAGUGCCAUUGUAAUAAAUUAAUAGAAAAUAUAUCUUUUUUUUUUUUCAUUGGAAAGUCUAUAAGAAAAUGUACAAACCUCUAACUCCGAAAAAGGACCAGCUGUUUCGGCGACAGGUAAAACAAGCAGUUGAACAGAGGCAAUAAAACCCAAACAUCCGAACAAACAAAGAGACAAACAAACAAAAUGCAACCAAAAAAACCCCACUCCACCAAUGGCAACUGUGUAGGCAAACAUGGAAACAUCUGCAGGAAUCAAACCUUACAGAGAGGGUCACUGCAGCUCCUGCAGGGGCUGUACAGAGGACGAGCAGUUGGGGAAUUCACUGGUCAGAGUGUGCACUCUUUGAAAAGAGUUUCUAGAACAGUCAGGGGCUGAACAGGAAUCACUUGGCACGGGGCUCUUGCUGACUGGCCAUGGCAGCAGGCUCCAUUCUGCCUCCAGAGGACACACGGAUGGCUCCAGGCCGUGCAGGUCACCAGGAGCCUUGGGCAUUUCCCUGCACGCAGCCAGGAUGCUCUGCUGUCCCUGGGGCUGCCAGCCUGCAGUGAUUCCUGUGGGUAUUCACAGCAGGAGACCCUCCCCAGAUCCAAAACAGGCCCCAUGUGCCAGGCUCAGCAUCACAGGACAAGCUGAUUAAGGUUUCUCUCUUAAGAAGGUGAGAUCUUUUAAGAAAGGAAAAGAAAAAGGUUUUUUUCCUAGAGCCAAGUCAUAUGCUUUCACCCUGAGAAUUCCCAAAACAGCAAAAUCAGAAGCUACAUUUCAGCACAAAGGUAACGUGCUCCUAGAAGCUGAACAAAGCAGUUUGGGGACAGACCCACCUGGUGGGAUGCUCCAGGGUGUUUACACUCUUAGAGGGAGCAGGAGAGGGGAAAUGGCCAUGGGCAGUGGAGCACUGCAGAGGGCAACCCCAGCACUGGGGCUUGUAGAAAGCCAAAUCCCACUCCAGACACAUCCCACUUUCCUGCCCACCAUCUGCUAUGUGCUCAUGAAGGAAAUAUUCCUGCUUUGGUCCAUCUCCUGGAAGCAAAUGUGUUCCACCAAAACUGCUGCCACCAACAGCACUGGCUCAGGGCAGGGAAAAGGUUUAGACAACCCAAACUGACAGACCAUGGGGAAUUCCUGUUAGUCUCUUCCCUUGGCUUCAUGGAUCUGGCACUGUUGUGGCCAUCACAGGACAUCAGAUAAAUGUUUUGGAUGAUCAUGGUUGAAACACCAGUGAGACUGACUCUUUCAUGGAAUAAUUUGUGAAAUCCCCAAACUAUCAUAAGAAUUUUGGAGAAUAAACAACCCACCUUAUUUGCCUUUUACAAAUGUUGCCCAUUCACUCUGCAAACAGCACAAAUGCCUAAGGAACAUUCAUUACCAGACUCUUGUUGGGAAGCUGGGAGGGAAUGCUUGGCUCUUUUUCUUUUUCCUUUUUUUUCUUUUUUUAAAUUUUUUCUUUAUAAUACAAUACACAUGACAUUCAGUGAAUUCAAAACAAUUUUGUAGCAAGUCUGAAAAGAACAUUUCCAGUUUCAAAACCCAGGAGAGGCUUGAGUGGAAUGCAACCUACAGUAUAUCUAAAUUUUGUUCAUGCUUGCUUUGACAUUCAGAGCAACUUAUCUAAACCAGUAUCUGCACAGCCUUUGGAAUGACAAACAAAAUCCUUGCUUUUUAGUCUAACUUCAAGGUAACAUUUUUGAUACUGUGGGGAAAAAGAAAAACCUAAUUAAUAAACAAAGUAGCCAUCAGCAAUUGGAAUAAUUUAUGUGGCAGUGGGGACAGGCAGAGAUAAAGUGGGGAAAUAAACCAAAGUCUUGCUGGCAAGACUGACAUUUUUUAAAAGCUUGUCAUGAUGUCUUUCACAUUUUCCCCCUGCCCUCAGAUUUCUUACAACAGCUACAGCCUCCAGAAACGCCUGUGUGGUAUUUUGGGGCAACUGACAGAAAUAUCACUGAACACUAGAAAUGCUUUCAGUGUAUUACAAGGUAAUGUUAACAUCCCAUCUUCAAGAGAUGCCCCUGUAAAGUCCUGAUCCACUCUGAUCUGCCAUCAUUACCCAGGUCUUUGAUUGAAGCAGGGGGAAAGGAGGUACAAGACAUCCAACUAGUGCAUUGGGAUUCCCACUUUAAUUCUUCAGCCUCCUGGAAAGACCUCAUCCAGCUCUCAUGUAACUCUUACAGGAGGACCAAGACAUAAUAUCUUUAGCCUGAAGACAGGAUCAGAAAGCAACACACAGCAGAGCAGUCUGAUCCUGUUUCCCCUGAUGUCCUGGGAAAGGUGAGGGCAGCUCACCCUAUUUGAUGCUGAAUAAGGUAAGUCCCAGUAUUCCUAGUCAAAAAUUGGAAGCCUUGAACUGGGAUUGUAUUAGCUGGCAACCAUAAACUGAUUCUGCAUGUCAUUAUACAGAGGGAAAGGCUGAAUGGGAAAGGCUGAGAAAAUACAUGUGCUAAUUGACAUUGCUCUCCUUCUAGCCUGCAGCUGCUUGUUGGAGGAAAAUUUCCUGUUUGCACAGCCACUAUUAAAACUCCGUGAUCCAUAGGAAAAAUGUGGUUUUCUGAGGAAGCAGGAAUAGGUGGUUCCAUCAGUCUCUGCUGGCAUGUUUUGUCCACUCCUUCUGUCAUUUCUUCCCCAACUAUGUGCCGCGGGCUGCAUGUGCAACACACACCCCAAAGAGCUUGACCAAACCUCACAGAAGCUUUAGGGGAAAUGCUUACUGUUCAGUUACACUUCCCAGCACCCAGGAAAUCACUCAAAUCCACUCUUUCUCCACCAGAUUAUCAACCAGUCUUUGAACUGGCAUUCCAGUCUGCGUGAGCAGCUAGUUACGCUACAGAAAAGGAAAAGUCAACUUAGAAGAUGGUGGAAGCAACAAUCCUUGACGGUUUUCAGACCAAGAGCUCCCCUUCCAGAGGCAGCACGAACACCAGUGUGUCCCAGGAGCGCUGGCAGAAGCAGCUCCUGCAGAAACAGCCCAGGCCUGGCUCGGUGCCGCCAGGGCCGGCCUCAGCGCCCGAGCCAGCCCGGCCUGGCGGCCCCAGCACUCGCUGCUGGCCACAGCAGGAGGCUCUGCUCUCACACCUGGCCCCUCUAGCUACUUACAGUGAGAUCUCUUUUUGAACAGCAACAACAACAACAAAAUGCUACGCCGGCGGCGCGGGCGGGCGAGGCCUGCGCAGAGCGGAAUUGGCAGUGCUUGGUAGAUUUUGGCUGAGUCCUCGUUCGUGACCAGCUUCACCCAGACGGGGCGGAAGCUGCCUUUGAAGCCGACAAAAGCCAUUUUUUCUGCAAAUCAGAACAAAUGUACUUAGAGUGUGCCAGGACUGCACCAGAAACCCUCCUGUGUGCAUGGCUACACCUCAUGGCUGGAGGGCUGCAGGUGCACAAGAGCCAUGUAUGUAACACACACACACACACAGAUGGAAUCAUGCCAAAAGCUGGUAGAGCUGAUUGCAGCAAUGUGCAUGUGGAGCUGUAUUCUAAUGCCAUAUGUGAUGCUCUGAAAUCAACAUGCUUUGUGCCAUCAAGUCAGAAUGUUUCAAGAGAAAGCCAGCUAAAAACAAGUUCAGACAAAUAAAAAAUCCUGGUUUGGGGCAUUUAGUGGGUAAAAAGGCUCACUAUUUCUAUUAUUAAAAGGUCUUUUAAUCUAAACUUAAUCUGGAAAAUCAAAUCCCCUGAAUUAUUUAUUUCUAAGAAAAAUGGCCAGUGUGUUUUUUCCUUUUUGCAGUUUAAAUAGAGCAUGUUACCCAAAGCUGCAGUGAACACAACCUUUCUGAAUAAAUAAAUUACUGGUUUCAGGAUGUUUGAGCACAUGCUGAUAGAAACAAGCAAGGCAAAGUUCAGAAGCAGAAAAAGUGUCCCUUUACUGGAGUAAUGGGAGGUUAGAAAUGA
Passer montanus (Eurasian tree sparrow) is the source of this 4609-nucleotide long non-coding RNA. RefSeq lists it as uncharacterized. Lineage: Eukaryota; Metazoa; Chordata; Aves; Passeriformes; Passeridae. The record is from RefSeq and is a predicted model, not a curated record. The transcript has 4 exons.